This 431-nucleotide ribosomal RNA is filed under the name uncultured bacterium. Its description in RNAcentral is "partial 16S ribosomal RNA". It matches the Rfam family "Bacterial small subunit ribosomal RNA", at positions 29 to 507 of the family's 1533-position model. The record is from RNAcentral.
AACGAACGCUGGCGGCAUGCCUAACACAUGCAAGUCGAGCGCGCCUUCGGGUGAUCGGCGGACGGGUGAGUAUCGCGUGGGGAUAUGCGCUUCUCUACGGAAUAUUCCUGGGAGACUGGGGGUAAUACCGUAUACGCCCUUUGGGGGAAAGAUUUAUCGGGGAAGGAUUAGCCCGCGUUGGAUUAGGUAGUUGGUGGGGUAAUGGCCUACCAAGGCGACGAUCCAUAGCUGGUUUGAGAGGAUGAUCAGCCACACUGGGACUGAGACACGGCCCAGACUCCUACGGGAGGCAGCAGUGGGGAAUAUUAGACAAUGGGGGAAACCCUGAUCUAGCCAUGCCGCGUGAGUGAUGAAGGCCUUAGGGUUGUAAAGCUCUUUCAGCUGGGAAGAUAAUGACGGUACCAGCAGAAGAAGCCCCGGCUAACUCCGUG